CCUAACCUAGCGGCGGACGGGUGAGUAAUGCUUAGGAAUCUGCCUAUUAGUGGGGGACAACAUUCCGAAAGGAAUGCUAAUACCGCAUACGUCCUACGGGAGAAAGCAGGGGACCUUCGGGCCUUGCGCUAAUAGAUGAGCCUAAGUCGGAUUAGCUAGUUGGUGGGGUAAAGGCCUACCAAGGCGACGAUCUGUAGCGGGUCUGAGAGGAUGAUCCGCCACACUGGGACUGAGACACGGCCCAGACUCCUACGGGAGGCAGCAGUGGGGAAUAUUGGACAAUGGGGGGAACCCUGAUCCAGCCAUGCCGCGUGUGUGAAGAAGGCCUUUUGGUUGUAAAGCACUUUAAGCGAGGAGGAGGCUACUAGUAUUAAUACUACUGGAUAGUGGACGUUACUCGCAGAAUAAGCACCGGCUAACUCUGUGCCAGCAGCCGCGGUAAUACGUAGGGUGCAAGCGUUAAUCGGAAUUACUGGGCGUAAAGCGUGCGCAGGCGGUUUUGUAAGUCUGACGUGAAAUCCCCGGGCUCAACCUGGGA
Molecule: ribosomal RNA, 538 nt
Filed under: uncultured Acinetobacter sp.
Lineage: Bacteria; Pseudomonadati; Pseudomonadota; Gammaproteobacteria; Moraxellales; Moraxellaceae
Description: bacterial SSU rRNA
Rfam family: Bacterial small subunit ribosomal RNA
Source: RNAcentral